Molecule: long non-coding RNA, 519 nt
Organism: Manacus vitellinus (golden-collared manakin)
Lineage: Eukaryota; Metazoa; Chordata; Aves; Passeriformes; Pipridae
Exons: 3
Source: RefSeq, a predicted model, not a curated record
CUGUUGAUUUGAUCCAAUGGACUGACAUGCAGGGGAGACUCAGAUGAAAGUUGCAUCUGAGGAGUGUUUGUGCUCAUAGCUGAGGAACCUUCCCAAAGCUGCCUUCCUCAUUAUCCACCAAAGUCCUCCUGCUGUUCCACAUACUAAUUCCACAGGGUGGAAUUAAUGCUUUCACAUGGCAAAGGCCAACUGUAACUGUUGCUUCACACUGAAAACACAGAGGGAGAAGGUGUUUCACUAAACCAUCACCAGUGGACAUCACAACAGGAAGAAAAUGACAACCACGGGGUGCGAUUCCUUCCCCGGCUGAUGCCGCUCUGAGCAUCCAGAGCCAGCCGAAGGCAGCAGCGGUACAGUCGCUGUGACAGUGCGAGGGCAGAAGCUCUGGACGGUAGAGGAUGCUAGAGAAGAGGGCCAAGCAGCAUCCAGGAGCUUUCCCCUGCUAUCCUGGGAAUGUGCUGGGUGUCUCCAUGGGCUGGGAGGAGUAAAAACAGGAUCCACUGGGAAUUUUUAGCACUU